AUGAACGCUAGCGGCAGGCUUAACACAUGCAAGUCGAGGGGUAUAGGGAGCUUGCUUCCUAGAGACCGGCGCACGGGUGCGUAACGCGUAUGCAAUUCUACCUUUUGCAGAGGGAUAGCCCAAGAGAAAAUUUUGGAUUAAUACCUCAUAGUAUGUGAGAAUGGCAUCAUUUUCACAUUAAAGUCACAACGGCAAAAGAUGAGCAUGCGUCCCAUUAGCUAGUUGGUAAGGUAACGGCUUACCAAGGCUACGAUGGGUAGGGGUCCUGAGAGGGAGAUCCCCACACUGGUACUGAGACACGGACCAGACUCCUACGGGAGGCAGCAGUGAGGAAUAUUGGACAAUGGGCGCAAGCCUGAUCCAGCCAUGCCGCGUGCAGGAUGACGGUCCUAUGGAUUGUAAACUGCUUUUGUACAGGAAGAAACACUACUUCGUGAAGUAGCUUGACGGUACUGUAAGAAUAAGGAUCGGCUAACUCCGUG
Molecule: ribosomal RNA, 482 nt
Filed under: uncultured bacterium
Lineage: Bacteria
Description: bacterial SSU rRNA
Rfam family: Bacterial small subunit ribosomal RNA
Source: RNAcentral